RNAcentral lists this ribosomal RNA (301 nucleotides) under uncultured bacterium. RNAcentral describes it as "partial 16S ribosomal RNA". It matches the Rfam family "Bacterial small subunit ribosomal RNA", at positions 509 to 807 of the family's 1533-position model. The record is from RNAcentral.
CAGUAGCCACGGUAAUACAGAGGGUGCGAGCGUUAAUCGGAUUUACUGGGCGUAAAGCGUGCGUAGGCGGCUUUUUAAGUCGGAUGUGAAAUCCCUGAGCUUAACUUAGGAAUUGCAUUCGAUACUGGGAAGCUAGAGUAUGGGAGAGGAUGGUAGAAUUCCAGGUGUAGCGGUGAAAUGCGUAGAGAUCUGGAGGAAUACCGAUGGCGAAGGCAGCCAUCUGGCCUAAUACUGACGCUGAGGUACGAAAGCAUGGGGAGCAAACAGGAUUAGAGACCCGUGUAGUUCCUGUCUCUUAUAC